This 325-nucleotide ribosomal RNA is filed under the name uncultured eukaryote. RNAcentral's name for it is "partial 18S ribosomal RNA". It matches the Rfam family "Eukaryotic small subunit ribosomal RNA", at positions 1470 to 1796 of the family's 1831-position model. The record is from RNAcentral.
CCCUUAGAUGUUCUGGGCCGCACGCGCGCUACACUGAUGCAUUCAACGAGCCUAUCCUUGACCGACAGGUCCGGGUAAUCUUUGAAUCUGCAUCGUGACGGGGAUAGAUUAUUGCAAUUAUUAAUCUUCAACGAGGAAUGCCUAGUAGGCGCAAGCCAUCAGCUUGCGUCGAUUACGUCCCUGCCCUUUGUACACACCGCCCGUCGCUCCUACCGAUUGGGUGUGCUGGUGAAAUGUUCGGAUCGGCCGUUUGUCGCGGUUUCCGCGUCAUGUGGCUGAGAAGUUCAUUAAACCCUCCCACCGAGAGGAAGGAGAAGUCGUAACA